CGGAUUAUUGGGCGUAAGAGCUCGUAGGCGGUUUGUCGCGUCUGCCGUGAAAGUCCGGGGCUCAACUCCGGAUCUGCGGUGGGUACGGGCAGACUAAAGUGAUGUAGGGGAGACUGGAAUUCCUGGUGUAGCGGUGAAAUGCGCAGAUAUCAGGAGGAACACCGAUGGCGAAGGCAGGUCUCUGGGCAUUAACUGACGCUGAGGAGCGAAAGCAUGGGGAGCGAACAGGAUUAGAUACCCUGGUAGUCCAUGCCGUAAACGUUGGGCACUAGGUGUGGGGGACAUUCCACGUUUUCCGCGCCGUAGCUAACGCAUUAAGUGCCCCGCCUGGGGAGUACGGCCGCAAGGCUAAAACUCAAAGGAAUUGACGGGGGCCCGCACAAGCGGCGGAGCAUGCGGAUUAAUUCGAUGCAACGCGAAGAACCUUACCAAGGCUUGACAUGGACCGGACCGCCGCAGAAAUGUGGUUUCCCCUUUGGGGCCGGUUCACAGGUGGUGCAUGGUUGUCGUCAGCUCGUGUCGUGAGAUGUUGGGUUAAGUCCCGCAACGAGCGCAACCCUCGUUCUAUGUUGCCAGCGCGUGAUGGCGGGGACUCAUAGGAGACUGCCGGGGUCAACUCGGAGGAAGGUGGGGACGACGUCAAAUCAUCAUGCCCCUUAUGUCUUGGGCUUCACGCAUGCUACAAUGGCCGGUACAAAGGGUUGCGAUACUGUGAGGUGGAGCUAAUCCCAAAAAGCCGGUCUCAGUUCGGAUUGGGGUCUGCAACUCGACCCCAUGAAGUCGGAGUCGCUAGUAAUCGCAGAUCAGCAACGCUGCGGUGAAUACGUUCCCGGGCCUUGUACACACCGCCCGUCAAGUCACGAAAGUUGGUAACACCCGAAGCCGGUGGCCUAACCCCUUGUGGGAGGAGCUGUCGA
This 917-nucleotide ribosomal RNA is filed under the name Arthrobacter sp. CK216. RNAcentral's name for it is "bacterial SSU rRNA". It matches the Rfam family "Bacterial small subunit ribosomal RNA", at positions 546 to 1459 of the family's 1533-position model. The record is from RNAcentral. Lineage: Bacteria; Bacillati; Actinomycetota; Actinomycetes; Micrococcales; Micrococcaceae.